This 854-nucleotide long non-coding RNA is filed under the name Daucus carota (carrot). Its description in RNAcentral is "long non-coding RNA (DCAR_LNC006318)". The record is from RNAcentral. Lineage: Eukaryota; Viridiplantae; Streptophyta; Magnoliopsida; Apiales; Apiaceae.
CGUCUUGAUUCCAAUUUCAAAUUCAAAAUUCAAAUUCAUAUCAUGUAAUCGGAUUCAAACUCUUCAAUCUCUUUCAUGUCAAAACUCUCCAACCUCGCACCUCCGUCUGCUCCAUGUAAUUCCCUCCCCCCUCUCUCCCUUCGCGAAUCUCUGUCUUUCUUCCUGAAUCUCUCUCUCUCCUCUAUCUCCCUCUCUCCGGCUGUGUCCCAUAUCUCUCUCUGUUUCUUCAUAUCUGGGUCACUCUCUCUCUCUCUCUAUUUCACUGGCCCUCUUUUUUAGUAUAUAUGGUAAUAUUUUAGUUUUACAUUUUAUACAGUUCAGUGAAAAACGCAUAUUCUGAAUUGAAUUGUGGAUUGAUACUUAAAUCUGAUAAAUUGUUCUUCCCUACAUUGUGCGAGUAUUCUUGAUUCUAUAUCUUUACUAAUGCUUGGAUUAUUGUUAUAUAAUUGUCUGAUUAAUAGUUUUCAUUUUGAUUUUGCAUCUCUACUGUUUGAUAUAAGUUCUCACAGAACUUUCUGUUACUUUUGAAUUAAGUAUUGUUUGAUAAAAGCUCUAAGAAAGUUUGUAAUCACUUUUGAAUUGCAUUUACAGCAGCAGAGGCUAAUGAAUGUUGAAGGAAUGAUGAAAGUUGUGGACGAGAGCAGGAGAGGUACAAGAUAAGUGAAUUUGGAGAAUUUUGUUGUAUGUUCAAGGGUACUCUCUAAUUUUUACUGUUCAUGUAUAUUUGCAAGUGUACAUAAAUGUUUUUAUGUUGAAAUGUGGCGGGGGUUGGGCUGUAAAUAGAAGGGACCUUACUAACACAGUCAACUCGAGCUUUCCCUAAAAUUUCGAAGCUUCCAAAGAUGUCACUGAAG